This 5240-nucleotide unclassified non-coding RNA is filed under the name Acanthaster planci (crown-of-thorns starfish). RNAcentral describes it as "kelch-like protein diablo, transcript variant X1". The record is from RNAcentral. Lineage: Eukaryota; Metazoa; Echinodermata; Asteroidea; Valvatida; Acanthasteridae.
UGCUCGUGUAUGUAUGUACGUACAUGAUGUCCCGCACCAUCUUACCAUAGAUGGACUCAGCAGUUUUUACCUUUAAUUAUUAACUUUUUUUGUCUAACUUUACCCCCAAAGCAGGUUUUAGAGUAGUUCUGAGUAAUGAUCUCUUGUUCCCAUUGGGAUUGAAUUGAGUUGCUCUCAUGGCUGCCAACAUUCCCGAGGUGAUGGAAGAGAGCGAAACACCAACAUUCAUCCAUCAAGAUCGGACCUGGAGGCCCAACAAGAGAGCUCGCAUCCAAGACGGACUUAUAAGUAGCAGCGAGACAGACGACGCGUUACUCAUGCGGCAACAGCACGCACUGGGGAUGCUGGCGGUCAUGCAGUCCAUGCACCAGCGCCGGGAGCUGUGCGAUGUGACACUAGUGGUGCAAGGCCGGUCCAUCCUGGCCCACCGGCUGGUGCUCGCCGCCUGUAGCCCCUACUUCAAUGCCAUGUUCACCAGCGAGCUGAGGGAGUGCAACGAGAAGACGGUCACGUUGCAGGACAUGGACCAUGUGGCCAUCCAGGAGAUCGUCAACUUUGCGUACUCGGCCAAGGUCAGCGUGACGGAGGACAAUGUCCAGUCGGUGCUGAAGGCUGCGUGCCUGCUGCAGAUCGAGCCGGUGAUUGGCCUGUGCUGCGAGUUCCUCAAGACGCAGUUGCACCCGUCAAACUGCCUUGGCAUCCGCGGUUUCGCUGAGCGGCAUGGCUGCUUCGAGCUGCAGCAGGCCGCCGACGCAUUCGCCCAGCAGAACUUCUGCCAGGUUGCGCAGCAGGAGGAGUUCCUCCACCUUGGCGUGGAGGACCUCAUCGACCUGAUCCGACGGGACGCACUGAACGUCCCGAAAGAAGAAGACGUGUACGAGGGUGUCAUGCGCUACGUGGACCAGAAUCGCGAGGAGCGCAUUCCGCGGGUCGGGGAGAUCUUCGAGCAUGUCCGCCUGCCUCUCUUGUCCUGGGAGUUCCUCCACAGCCGUGUCAAGGAGGACAACGUGGUCACCACGGACGAGAAAUGUAAGAGCUUUUUCGACGAGGCGAGGCGGUAUCACGCAAGCCAGUUCUACCCUGGUUUGCAUUGGGAAGUCAGCAUUCGAACAUUACCCAGGCACUCAUUCAGCCGGUCUAUUUAUAUUUAUGUGGUUGGCGGUGAACUGAACCCGGGCCGCACCACCACCAGCACGGUGGAGCGCUACACCCCGGCCCUCAACUGCUGGACCUCGGUCAACCCCAUGGGCUCGCCACGGCGGGGCGUGGGCACGGUCAUGCUGGACAAGAUCCUGUAUGCGGUGGGCGGCUCGGACAACGCGGCGCUGAACGUGGUGGAGUGCUUUGACCCUGCCACGGGGGGCUGGCGUUACCUGGCGCCCCUCCAGGAGCCCCGCAGCAGCGUGGCUGUGGCGGCAGCCGGGGGCUACGUGUACGCAUUUGGCGGCUACAAUGGGAUGACCAGUUCCCGGACAGUGGAGCGAUUUAAUCCCAAUACAAAUGAGUGGAAACACACGACAGAAAUGACAUCGCCGCGUAGCAUGGCUGCUGCCGUUACCCAUGGGACCAGCAUCUAUGUGAUCGGAGGUUACGACGGCUCAGCCGAUUUGAGCAGUGUGGAGUGCUUCUCACCAGGGGUCAAGAAGUGGCGGACAGUUUCCCCCAUGCACACAGCUCGAUCCAUGGUGGCUGCGACAGCUUUCAAAGAGAGGAUUUACGUGGUUGGUGGAUGCCAUUGCAGCAUCAGUUUGGCCAGCGUAGAGGUCUACAAUCCGGCCAACGACACCUGGACUCAGGCCCAGGCCAUGCACCACCCCCGCAGCGGCGUGGGCCUGGCCGCCAUCAACCAGCGGCUCUACGCCCUGGGAGGCUACGACGGCAACGAGUACCUGCGCUCCGUGGAGAUGUACGAGAAGGAGGAGGAUGAGUGGACCGUUGUCAGCAACAUGGAGACCCCCCGACGCCGGUUUGGGUGCUGCUCGUAACGCUAGGUAGGGGAGUCUGGAUCAGGAGCCCAAUAGUUGAUCAGCGCUAUCCAGGAGCUUCUAAAUAUUUCUUAUCUUGUCCCAAGGGGGAAAUCCAGAACCAUAAUAUUUGGGCGGCCCAAACUCGUUUUAUGGGGGCCAUUCGUGUAAUCUUUAGACUACAUUUGAGGGCUUGUAGCAUGCUUUUGGAAAGGCUAGUAAUGAAGUAGGCCUAAAAAAUUGUUAUUCUCCCAUUAUUUGUCAAGAAAUUCUUUUUGGGGGGGCGUAACCCUUGCCCCCCCAUCCAAUCAUGUCUAGUCCCUUGACCCAUUUCCUUUAAAUUGACGGAAGGUCAACUCUAGAGUGGUAAAUGACACGGAGACACUGAUGAUAUCGGGUUCACGAUUUGACUUUUUCUCGAGAAAUGUGUUUGUGCAAUUCUCUGGGAACAUUUCUCGUCGACUGUCUAAAUGUAUUCAAAAAGGGCUUUUGGAUCCUUUCAAAGAAAAAUCACAAACGUUUUUGCCAAUAUGGCAGUUUUUUGUCAUUUCCGAACAUUCUUUCAAACAUACAGCUAUUACGGGAUUUCGAAAUCUGGACCAUUUACUUCUUAAAUACCCAGGGAUUGAAGGGACCAUACAAACCCACAAAGGCCAAAAAUCAGAUCUUUUUUGGGGGGGGGUAGUGUAAGUACAUGUCAUCUUUAUUCUGUAGAGGCUUUCCUUCGUGUCACCUCGGGCGAGGUUCAGUUUGCUCCAGUGUUUUCAUUUUCCCGUGACUAUUCUUUCCGUGAACGAUUUCCCAGCCAUUGGUCAGCUCUAGGGCAUAUUGUCUCUGUUAGAUUUACCACCACUGGGAGCUUCAAAAUGUGCCCAAUCACCCCAAACUCAGUUGAAGUGGCUCCGUUUGCAACCAUUUGGCGUCUGUGUGAAAUGUUGGACCCUGUUAGCCCUGAUGUCAUAUUCAAUUAGCUGCCUAGUGUAACUAAACAGCAAGAAGCCUGAAUCUGCUUUCCCUGGAGAAGGUACUCAGUUCGGUAAUUACAUAUUUCAGAGCACUGAUUAUAUUAUUUUAUUCUUGUCAAUAUAUAGCAAAAAGCCUUGUGCCCAACUAUGCCAUGUUGGAAGGCUGCAAACCUUCAUUAAACAAGUUCAUGCGAAAUGUACUAAAUGUAAGAUUAUUGGAAAUCAUGCACCGAUUUUUGUACAAUUCACUGCUGCAUUAACAGACCAAAAAAAAAAAGAUCUUUCUGUCUAAUUGAAAGGUUUAAUGAAGCUCUAAUUCUGUGUAAUGGAUUUUAUUAUUGAAAUAUUUUCAGGAUAUUUUCUGGUACUUCUUUGUAUUAAUUGUACAGGUAUGUUACGUUUUCACAUUCUGAACUGUGAUGUCAGCUUCUGCACUAUAGCAUUCAGUACUUUAAUUUAUUCACACGAAUGCACAGAGCUGCUGCUUGUUGAAAUCAAGAGAUUGCAUAUUUAAAUUCAGGUCUUGAUCGGGAUUCUUCAGGCAAUUUGUCAAAUCUGCAAGCUCCUUUAUGUACUAUUUCUAAUUUUUUGUAAGUUCUUUCGAUUUUAUCACUUUGAUGUUCAGUGCAAGCUUAUGUGAAUUUUGUUCAUAUUUGAUAUUGUGUACCAAGAAUAUCUCUACUCAAGUACUGAUGAAUCAUGCAACCUUCGGAUAAACGUUUAUUAUUUUGAUAUAAAUGUGAAUUGUGUUCAGAGAGCUUCUUAAGAUGUAGAGAAAUUUUCAACUACAUCAGAUGAUAAUAUGUGGUCUAUUUUUUUCCCAUUACCCGGCUGCAAAGCUUCUCUGCCUGGACAUGUAUGUGUAUACAGUUAUCUCUGUCGCAAGAUUUGGGAAACUUUAUUCUUGUAAAAAACAACCGUUGCAUUAUUGCAGCAAAGCACUUAAAUGGCAAAGAUAUACGUUCACGUUUUACUGAAGCCUUUGGGUUCUACAUGUGUCAAGAAUUGUACACAAACAAUUAGUGAAAUAGUACAUGUACACAGGAAGUUGAUGUCGCGUUGUACACUAAAGCUAGCUCUUCGCUCGUCGCCUGCCGAAGAGCUGAUGGCUUUGCACUGCGGAUUGGCUACAUUGUGAACGACCUGUGACCAUGAGGUUAUCACUUCCUAUUAGCAAUGCGUUAUUUCAAUUUUUUGGUUCAUCAGUGGCAAUGCUGUGACGCAGCCAAUGUCGGCUUAUAUGAUAAAAAAACAUGGCCUUGGUACAAUCACAGUGUGAUAAUUUAUUUUCUCACUAUUACUUAAAGUAUAACUGAUCACGCGUCUUUUGGCGAUAUAUUUCAAAUCAUUGGUUAUCUUGGUCAAUUUUGGAUGAACGAAUAAAGUGUAGUGAGGAUGUUUUCAGCAAUGAGGAAGAAAAAGAAAAAAUACGGAAUUGAUAGCCGCCGCUUGUGAAUUAAAUGCGUUGAGGAAACUCACGCUUCUGGCAAAAAUUCACCCACAAUGCUGUGCAAGGCCAUGCUGUGCAAGGCCAUCAGUCCUUCCCAGCGCCCUGUUCGGGCGAUGGGCAACGAGCGAAGAGCUAGUUAAGUUUGCAGUAGAGGUUCUGCGUUGAUGCAUCUUCUUGAGGGCGAAAGUUCUGUAUCACUGGCCUGGGCACAGACUUGGUAAACCUUUUGUGCAAAGCAGCCCCUGACACCAUGGAGACGCCGCCAACGCCUAGAAACCUCUACUCGCGUUCAUGAAUACACCCUCCAAAGUGUGGAAUUAUGUUGCUUUGUACUUCAUGUAUAUGUCUUAAAGUGAUGGAUUUUUAUGUAUGUAAGAGCAACAGUAUCACGUUUUGGUUCCGGAUUGCUGCAGUGACUUUGAUGUUGCUCUUAAGUUUUGCUAGUUCACAUCGCAGGUUUUGUCGGAAAUUGGCACCACCAGACAAUUUAUUUUUUUACCAAAUGUAAGAUUAAACUGUACAUAUUUGCCAUUCGCAGUGGGUGUUUUGUAAGAUGUCUAAUUAAUCAAAUGAGUAUAGUUGAUGACUUUUUUUCGAUGGUGUUUGACUUGUUUAUGUAAACAGUAGUGUGGAGACAUGCUCUUCAUAUGGUUACAUUUUAGUACUGACAGCUGUCACUUAAUUCCUUAACAUUUUUUGCCUGCUGUCAAAUUUUGGCAUGCCUUUUCCCUUGUUCCUCACAGUCAUUAAUGUACAGACUACUUUUUCCAGUAAUACAAUUAACUCUAGGUAUAACAAAGUAACGGGAACCAGGCAAUUUUUUUUACACCUAGGACUUUGUUAUGAAAACCGAGGAAAAAC